ACCUACGGGAGGCAGCAGUAGGGAAUCUUCCUCAAUGGGCGAAAGCCUGAUGGAGCAACGCCGCGUGGGUGAAGAAGGUCUUCGGAUCGUAAAACCCUGUUGUUAGAGAAGAAAGUGCGUGAGAGUAACUGUUCACAUUUCGACGGUAUCUAACCAGAAAGCCACGGCUAACUACGUGCCAGCAGCCGCGGUAAUACGUAGGUGGCAAGCGUUAUCCGGAUUUAUUGGGCGUAAAGGGAACGCAGGCGGUCUUUUAAGUCUGAUGUGAAAGCCUUCGGCUUAACCGAAGUAGUGCAUUGGAAACU
Molecule: ribosomal RNA, 305 nt
Filed under: uncultured bacterium
Lineage: Bacteria
Description: bacterial SSU rRNA
Rfam family: Bacterial small subunit ribosomal RNA
Source: RNAcentral